UUUUAAAACCAUGCCACCCUAAGUAUACCCAGGCUUAUCCAGGCUUAGAAGCUAAGCAGGGAUGAGCCUGGUUACCUCUUGGAUGGGUAACCACCUGGAAAUGCCAGGUAUAAGAA
RNAcentral lists this ribosomal RNA (116 nucleotides) under Amphilophus citrinellus (Midas cichlid). Lineage: Eukaryota; Metazoa; Chordata; Actinopteri; Cichliformes; Cichlidae. The record is from RNAcentral.